AGAGUUUGAUCAUGGCUCAGAUUGAACGCUGGCGGCAUGCCUUACACAUGCAAGUCGAACGGUAACGCGGGGCAACCUGGCGACGAGUGGCGAACGGGUGAGUAAUAUAUCGGAACGUGCCCAGUAGUGGGGGAUAGCCCGGCGAAAGCCGGAUUAAUACCGCAUACGACCUACGGGUGAAAGGGGGGGAUCGCAAGACCUCUCGCUAUUGGAGCGGCCGAUAUCAGAUUAGCUAGUUGGUGGGGUAAAAGCUCACCAAGGCGACGAUCUGUAGCUGGUCUGAGAGGACGACCAGCCACACUGGGACUGAGACACGGCCCAGACUCCUACGGGAGGCAGCAGUGGGGAAUUUUGGACAAUGGACGCAAGUCUGAUCCAGCCAUGCCGCGUGCGGGAAGAAGGCCUUCGGGUUGUAAACCGCUUUUGUCAGGGAAGAAAUCCUUUGAAAUAAUACUUCGGAGGGAUGACGGUACCUGAAGAAUAAGCACCGGCUAACUACGUGCCAGCAGCCGCGGUAAUACGUAGGGUGCAAGCGUUAAUCGGAAUUACUGGGCGUAAAGCGUGCGCAGGCGGUUCUAUAAGACAGAUGUGAAAUCCCCGGGCUCAACCUGGGAACUGCAUUUGUGACUGUAGAGCUGGAGUGCGGCAGAGGGGGAUGGAAUUCCGCGUGUAGCAGUGAAAUGCGUAGAUAUGCGGAGGAACACCGAUGGCGAAGGCAAUCCCCUGGGCCUGCACUGACGCUCAUGCACGAAAGCGUGGGGAGCAAACAGGAUUAGAUACCCUAGUAGUCC
RNAcentral lists this ribosomal RNA (791 nucleotides) under uncultured bacterium. Its description in RNAcentral is "bacterial SSU rRNA". It matches the Rfam family "Bacterial small subunit ribosomal RNA", at positions 8 to 796 of the family's 1533-position model. The record is from RNAcentral.